This 358-nucleotide ribosomal RNA is filed under the name uncultured Alphaproteobacteria bacterium. RNAcentral's name for it is "bacterial SSU rRNA". It matches the Rfam family "Bacterial small subunit ribosomal RNA", at positions 64 to 448 of the family's 1533-position model. Lineage: Bacteria; Pseudomonadati; Pseudomonadota; Alphaproteobacteria. The record is from RNAcentral.
GAGCGCGUGUAGCAAUACACGAGCGGCAGACGGGAGAGUAACGCGUGGGAACGCGCCCUUCGGUUCGGAAUAACUCAGGGAAACUUGAGCUAAUACCGGAUACGCCCUUACGGGGAAAGAUUUAUUGCCGAAGGAACGGCCCGCGUCCGAUUAGCUAGUUGGUGAGGUAACGGCUCACCAAGGCGACGAUCGGUAGCUGGUCUGAGAGGAUGACCAGCCUCACUGGGACUGAGACACGGCCCAGACUCCUACGGGAGGCAGCAGUGGGGAAUAUUGGACAAUGGGCGCAAGCCUGAUCCAGCCAUGCCGCGUGGAUGAUGAAGGCCCUAGGGUUGUAAAGUCCUUUUAACGGUGAAGA